RNAcentral lists this transfer RNA (70 nucleotides) under Bavayia robusta. RNAcentral's name for it is "tRNA-Trp". It matches the Rfam family "tRNA". Rfam says of the family: Transfer RNA (tRNA) molecules are approximately 80 nucleotides in length. Their secondary structure includes four short double-helical elements and three loops (D, anti-codon, and T loops). The record is from RNAcentral. Lineage: Eukaryota; Metazoa; Chordata; Lepidosauria; Squamata; Diplodactylidae.
AGAAACUUAGGUUAAUAUCUAAACCAAGAGCCUUCAAAGCCCUAAACAGAGGAUAAACCUCUAGUCUCUG